AAUGAACGCUGGCGGCGCGCCUAACACAUGCAAGUCGAACGGCAGGAAGGGGCUUGCCCCUUCUGAGGGUGGGGGACUGGCGGGUAACACGUGGGUGCAUCACCUUCUAGUUGGGGAUGGCUAUUAGAAAAAGAAGGUAAAACCUAAUGUAACAGUACAUGUAAGAGGGGGACGAGGAAAGGAGCAAAGGUUUCGCGAAAAGAAUGGCUCGCGGCCCAUUAUGCUGGUUGGUGAGGUAACGGCCCACCAAGGCGAUGAUGGGUAUCCGGCCUGAGAGGGUGAACGGACACAUUGGGACUGAGAUACGGCCCAGACUUCUACGGGAGGCAGCAGUGAAGAAUAUUCCGCAAUGGACGAAAGUCUGACGGAGCGACGCCGCGUGGAUGAAGAAGGCCGAAGGGUUGUAAAAUCCUUUUAAGCCUGAUGAAUAAGAACAGUAGGGAAUGAUUGUGCGGUGACCGUAGGGCUUGAAUAAGCACCGGCUAAUUACGUG
This 493-nucleotide ribosomal RNA is filed under the name uncultured bacterium. RNAcentral's name for it is "partial 16S ribosomal RNA". It matches the Rfam family "Bacterial small subunit ribosomal RNA", at positions 30 to 507 of the family's 1533-position model. The record is from RNAcentral.